Molecule: long non-coding RNA, 1015 nt
Organism: Cryptomeria japonica (Japanese cedar)
Lineage: Eukaryota; Viridiplantae; Streptophyta; Pinopsida; Cupressales; Cupressaceae
Exons: 2
Source: RefSeq, a predicted model, not a curated record
AAGACAUUGCCCAAAAACCCCUACGAACUGCAAUGCACCUUCAGAGAUUCAAUUUAGAGAUGUUGUGUCCAGUGGGAAUGGGAUUUGUAUUCAAACGAUUUAUGUUCAGAGAUUCAAUUCAGAACGUGUCCAAUUUAGCAGUGCGUAGAUUCAAUUUAGCAGUGCGCUAACGGCACUCAAAGGAGCGUGUCCAGAUUCAAUUCGGAACGUGCCCUAACGGCUCUCAAAUUAUAGUGCAAUGGCCGUUAAAAAAAUAGUGACCGUUGAAAAAAACAGGAAUUCAGUUCUUAUAAAUGAACAGUUUACUUGAGAAGCAGGUCAAAUUUCUUGUUCUAUUUUCUUUUUGGUUUGAUUUGUCUCCCAUUGUAUGUUUUUGGCAUGGCCAUGCCUAUUUUUUAUUUUUAUUUUUCUGAAUUUUGGUUUUGAAUUUUUCUUUCUUGAAUUUUGGUAUUUCGUGUAUCUUCUUUUUUCUGUGGGUCGUCGUUUUUCAGUAUUCAGCAGCAAGAACACUACAUUCUGGAGUGGCUGAUUGGAGAUGUGGCCAGAAAAUAGGCAAAGCCAGAGGUGAUUCAAAUUUCAAUCAUGAUUGAUGUUGAGCGUUUGACUUGUAGUGUCUACAAAUGUUUGGAGGCUUGAAUGGGUAGCUGCUGAAGUCAAAUAAUGAAUGUAAUAUUUAAAAUUUCAGAAAAAGAUGUUACUAGAAAUCUUGAAUGGCUUGCUGAAUUAAUUACUGAAAUCAGUAUUUGUAAACAGAUUUGUUUUUUAAUGUGAAAUUUUUAUUUGGAAGGGAUUGAAUUGGCUCCCUUUCCAAGGCUGUGGAGAAUGGUCAUUGGCCAUGCCCAUUUUUUUCAGUCUAGUAGUGUCUAUUGGUUAAUUUUUUAUAUUUAUUUUUUACUGCAUGAAUGAGUUGCUGAAUCAACUACUGAAAUCAGUAUUUGUAAAUUGAUAUGUAAACAGAUUUGUUGUUUAAUGCCAAAUUUUUAUUUGGAAGGGGUUGAAUUGGCCCCCUUCCCAA